RNAcentral lists this transfer RNA (77 nucleotides) under Saccharimonadales bacterium (SeqCode). Its description in RNAcentral is "tRNA-Ala". It matches the Rfam family "tRNA". From Rfam's summary of the family: Transfer RNA (tRNA) molecules are approximately 80 nucleotides in length. Their secondary structure includes four short double-helical elements and three loops (D, anti-codon, and T loops). RNAcentral also lists the same sequence under 2 other names. Lineage: Bacteria; Candidatus Saccharimonadota; Candidatus Saccharimonadia; Saccharimonadales (SeqCode). The record is from RNAcentral.
GGGGCAUUAGCUCAGCUGGCUAGAGCGCAUCGCUGGCAGCGAUGAGGUCAUCGGUUCAAGUCCGAUAUGCUCCACCA